CCUACGGGUGGCAGCAGUGAGGAAUAUUGGUCAAUGGGCUUACGCCUGAACCAGCCAAGUCGCGUGAGGGAAGACUGCCCUAUGGGUUGUAAACCUCUUUUGUCAGGGAGCAAUUGGCGCUACGUGUAGCGUUAUCGAGAGUACCUGAAGAAAAAGCAUCGGCUAACUCCGUGCCAGCAGCCGCGGUAAUACGGAGGAUGCGAGGGUUAUCCGGAUUUGUUGGGUUUAAAGGGUGGGUAGGCGGAAUGCCAAGUCAGCGGUAAAAGCGCGGGGCUCAACCUCGCUCCGCCGUUGAAACUGGCGGUCUUGAGUGGGCGAGAAGUAUGCGGAAUGCGUGGUGUAGCGGUGAAAUGCAUAGAGAUCACGCAGAACUCCGAUUGCGAAGGCAGCAUACCGGCGCCCAACUGACGCUGAAGCACGAAAGCGUGGGUAUCGAACAGGAUUAGAUACCCCUGUAGUC
Molecule: ribosomal RNA, 460 nt
Filed under: uncultured bacterium
Lineage: Bacteria
Description: partial 16S ribosomal RNA
Rfam family: Bacterial small subunit ribosomal RNA
Source: RNAcentral